RNAcentral lists this ribosomal RNA (253 nucleotides) under uncultured bacterium. RNAcentral's name for it is "partial 16S ribosomal RNA". It matches the Rfam family "Bacterial small subunit ribosomal RNA", at positions 524 to 776 of the family's 1533-position model. The record is from RNAcentral.
UACAUAGGGCUCAAGCGUUGUUCGGAUUCAUUGGGCGUAAAGGGUGCGUAGGCGGCGCGGUAAGUCGGGUGUGAAAUCUCGGAGCUUAACUCCGAAACUGCAUUCGAUACUGCCGUGCUUGAGGACUGGAGAGGAGACUGGAAUUUACGGUGUAGCGGUGAAAUGCGUAGAUAUCGUAAGGAAGACCAGUGGCGAAGGCGGGUCUCUGGACAGUUCCUGACGCUGAGGCACGAAGGUCAGGGGAGCAAACGGG